CCUACGGGAGGCAGCAGCGAGGAAUCUUGCGCAAUGGGCGAAAGCCUGACGCAGCAACGCCGCGUGGGGGAUGAAGGCCUUCGGGUCGUAAACCCCUUUUGCAGGGGAAGAAGCUCUGACGGUACCCUGCGAAUAAGCCACGGCUAACUACGUGCCAGCAGCCGCGGUAAUACGUAGGUGGCUAGCGUUAUCCGGAUUCACUGGGCGUAAAGAGCGCGUAGGCGGUGUGCUAAGUUGGACGUGAAAGCCCCGGGCUAAACCGGGGGAGGUCGUCCAAUACGGGUGCACUUGAGGGUGGACGGGGAAAGCGAAAUUCCCGGUGUAGUGGUAAAAGGCGUAGAUAUCGGGAGGAACACCAGUGCGAAGGCGGCUUUCUAGACCACUCCUGACGCUGAGGCGCGAAAGCGUGGGGAGCGAACGGGAUUAGAUACCCGGGUAGU
This 440-nucleotide ribosomal RNA is filed under the name uncultured bacterium. Its description in RNAcentral is "partial 16S ribosomal RNA". It matches the Rfam family "Bacterial small subunit ribosomal RNA", at positions 338 to 794 of the family's 1533-position model. The record is from RNAcentral.